GUCUCUGGCUAUGCCACCCUGAAUGUGCCCGAUAUCGUCAGAAGCUCAGCAGGAUCAGACCUGGUUAGUACUUGAAUGGGAGACUAUCUGGGAAUACCAGCUGCUGUAAGCU
Molecule: ribosomal RNA, 112 nt
Organism: Tupaia belangeri (northern tree shrew)
Lineage: Eukaryota; Metazoa; Chordata; Mammalia; Scandentia; Tupaiidae
Source: Ensembl